CUUUAACUUCUUUGUGGGGGAGGGAGUGCAAAUUGGUUUUAAGGAAACACAGAAAUGCAUUUUCAGAAUUUUUCUACAUGUGGGCUAGAGGGGGCAGUGCUUCCUCUCAUAAAGAUAAAGAGCUAAAAACAGUACUGUUCAUAUGUGAAAUAGAAGCCUCUGUGGAAGGAAAUGAAAGAAGGGCAGGAAGUUGAAGUCAGAUUUACGGUUGUCUGGGGAGGAGAGAAGACAAGCGGAGUCCACAGGAGACAUGGGCAAGCUCCUGGGGGUAUCACUGUUGAUUCUGUGGCUUCAGCCAGACUGGGUGAAUAGUCAACAGAAUGCUGACCAGCAGCAAGUUAGGCAAACUCCAUCCCUGAGUGUGCAAGAACGAGAGAUUUCUAUUCUGAACUGUGACUACAAUAAUAAUAUGUUUGAUUACUUCAUGUGGUACAAAAAAUACCCUGCCAAAAGUCUUGAGUUUGUGAUAUCAAUACGUUCCAUUGUGGAUAAAAAGGAAGAUGAAAGAUUCACAGUCUACCUCAACGGAAGUGCCAAACACCUGUCUCUGCACAUCGCAGCCUCACAGCCUGGAGAUUCAGCCUUGUACUUCUGCGCAGCGAAUGCACAGUGCUCUCCAGGCACCUGCAGCCUAUACACAAAACUGCAGCUGGGUCCAUGCCUCUUUGGGGGCUCAUACUUGGAGGCACAUACUUGCUUCCACUUAAACAGAGCAAGAGAGGUUGCUGGUUUAACUAAAGCAUCAAUCUCUGGUGAUGCUUUGAUCCCGCUAGACCUUGGAAUGAGGAUACCAUUUCCCCUGUAG
Leopardus geoffroyi (Geoffroy's cat) is the source of this 805-nucleotide non-coding RNA. The record is from the annotation of a RefSeq genome assembly. Lineage: Eukaryota; Metazoa; Chordata; Mammalia; Carnivora; Felidae.